This 450-nucleotide ribosomal RNA is filed under the name uncultured Glomus. Its description in RNAcentral is "SSU rRNA". It matches the Rfam family "Eukaryotic small subunit ribosomal RNA", at positions 569 to 1023 of the family's 1831-position model. The record is from RNAcentral. Lineage: Eukaryota; Fungi; Glomeromycota; Glomeromycetes; Glomerales; Glomeraceae.
AGCAGCCGCGGUAAUUCCAGCUCCAAUAGCGUAUAUUAAAGUUGUUGCAGUUAAAAAGCUCGUAGUUGAAUUUCGGGAUCGACGGGUCGGUCGCGCCUCUGGUGUGUACUGGCCCUGUCGGUUUCUCCCUUCUGACGAACCACGACGUCAUUAAUUUGGUGUCGUGGGGAAUCAGGACUGUUACUUUGAAAAAAUUAGAGUGUUUAAAGCAAGCAUUCGCUUGAAUACAUUAGCAUGGAAUAAUGAAAUAGGACGUUUGAUCUUAUUUUGUUGGUUUCUAAGAUCGACGUAAUGAUUAAUAGGGAUAGUUGGGGGCAUUAGUAUUCAAUUGUCAGAGGUGAAAUUCUUGGAUUUAUUGAAGACUAACUACUGCGAAAGCAUUUGCCAAGGAUGUUUUCAUUAAUCAAGAACGAAAGUUAGGGGAUCGAAGACGAUCAGAUACCGUCGUAG